Molecule: long non-coding RNA, 338 nt
Organism: Polypterus senegalus (gray bichir)
Lineage: Eukaryota; Metazoa; Chordata; Cladistia; Polypteriformes; Polypteridae
Exons: 3
Source: RefSeq, a predicted model, not a curated record
CAAAGGCUACUUAAAUUAAAAACGUGACGCUAUGGAGCAAACUGCUGUGGCGCCCAAGCCGCACGUGCCUAGUCCCCAAAAUCCCGAAUUAAAUGAGUGAUCGGCAAAGAACUGCACGUUCUUGUGUGGUACUCCAGUGCGAAAACUGUUUAUUGUAUUCUUUCUUUUUUAUUUCAAUGGAGGCGUUAAUGGAUCGUGAUAACUGCUGGUGAGUGGGAAGAGAGACGGCAGCAGUCACGAGCCUGGUGGUAAUCUGAUUUUGGAGCAGACAUUUAAGAAUCAUGUGCUGGUAGUGAUUCAAAUACACGCAAGUAAUGAGCAGGAUUUUUUCGGUAGAU